AUUGAACGCUGGCGGCAUGCCUAACACAUGCAAGUCGAACGGCAGCACGGCAGUAGCAAUACUGUGGGUGGCGAGUGGCGGACGGGUGAGGAAUACGUCGGAAUCUGCCCAGUCGUGGGGGAUAACUAGCCGAAAGGUUAGCUAAUACCGCAUACGACCGAGAGGUGAAAGCGGGGGACCGCAAGGCCUCGCGCGAUUGGAUGAGCCGACGUCGGAUUAGCUAGUUGGUGGGGUAAAGGCCCACCAAGGCGACGAUCCGUAGCUGGUCUGAGAGGAUGAUCAGCCACACUGGAACUGAGACACGGUCCAGACUCCUACGGGAGGCAGCAGUGGGGAAUAUUGGACAAUGGGCGCAAGCCUGAUCCAGCAGUGCCGCGUGUGUGAAGAA
Molecule: ribosomal RNA, 388 nt
Filed under: uncultured bacterium
Lineage: Bacteria
Description: bacterial SSU rRNA
Rfam family: Bacterial small subunit ribosomal RNA
Source: RNAcentral